Molecule: long non-coding RNA, 5201 nt
Filed under: Sus scrofa (pig)
Lineage: Eukaryota; Metazoa; Chordata; Mammalia; Artiodactyla; Suidae
Description: lncRNA (ENSSSCG00000059792.1)
Source: RNAcentral
AAUUAUUCUCUGGUCCUUAUGGAAAAAUUUGCCAACCCCUGUUCUGCUCUUGAUUGUUUAAGCAGACCCAGGAAAAAGUUUUGUUCUAUUCAAGCUACAUUUUUGACUAAUCCCUUAAAAUGUGAUGGAAGAAAGUAUAACAAUGUUCAGCAGAAUAAUUUCCUAACAUCAAGUUUUAAAAAACCACUAAUUUUGCAUUAUGACCAUGAAAGUUGAGUAACUGACAAACAGAACUUUAAGAGCUUUCCUAAUCAAGGGCUGACUCUGUUCAAGGCCCUGGGUGAAGUAACGAGGAGGUGGAAAAGAUAGAUGUAAAACCCAACUCCAGAUGAUGAGGUGUUCCCCAGUCAGAGAAGAGGUAUAAGCACAGAUUAAUGCUGUGAUGGAGCAGUACUCAGCCCCAGUCCUUAGUGGAUGCUCCUGCUAGAAAACUGUCAUGUUGAGCUUUCUCAUGGAGUUAGGGACACAGCAUCUCUCUACUGAGUGGUGAGAAGCAGGACAGAGACCACCUCUUAUUCAUCUUCGUACCCCCUCAGUGUCUAGCAGAAUGUAGUGCCCUCUACAGCACUCAGUUAAAGUCUGUUGAAUUUGACCUUGCUGUUACAAAAAGAUGAUACCCUAGAAAGCAAUCUCUAUGUACCUAAUGAAUGACAGUGCACAAAUUUCUCCACUCCUGCUUUAAAUCCCACUCUCUGCCAUCUCUUUCUAGAGCAGGCUUCAUUGGGAGUUGGUAAGGAAGACCAAAGAUACUCAAAGAAUUUUAUGGUACGCAUUGUAAAAUUGAUUUAAAAUACUGAGCAUUUCCUACAAGAAAAGAUGUUGUUUUGUUUUGUUUUUUUUUCUUUCUCUUUUCAAUGGCCACACCCAUGACAUACGGAAGUUCCUGGGCCAGGGACUGAAUCCAAGAUACAGCUGCAACUUAUACCACAGCUGCAGCAAUGCUGGAUCCUUCAAUCCACAGUGUCUGGCCACAGAUGGAACCCAAGUCUCUGCAGUGACCUGAGCUGCUGCAGCUGCAUUCUUUUUUUUUUUUUUUUUUUUUUUUGUCUUUUCUAGUGCCACACCCAUGGCGUAUGGAGGUUCCCAGGCUAGGGGUCUAAUUGGAGCUGCAGCUGCCGGCCCACGCCACAGCCACAGCAACUCAGGAUCUGAGCCACAUCUGUGACCUACACCACAGCUCAUCAAUGCCGGAUCCUUAACCCACUGAACAAGGCCAGGAACAAACCCGCAACCCCAUGGUUCCUAGUUGGAUUGGUUUCCACUGAGCCAUGAUGGGAACUCCUGCAGCCGCAUUCUUAACCCACUGCUCCACAGUGGGAACUCCAAGAAAAGAUGCUUUUAGGAAAUACUAUGGGACUUCAUUGGCUUUGGUAUAAAAGAUAAUGAAUGAAGAUAACUGUGUUCUGCUGGGAGUCAUUUUAUAAAAACAGGUGUUAUGAUUCUUUAGAUUUAAUUUGUUUUCUUCAGCAACAUCAGAAAUCUCUUCUUUCAGCCCAUCCUAAAUGCACAAAAAGGGAGGCCCCAAUAAUCUUCCCAGUUCUAUCAGUUCCUACCUGGAAUACAUCCCUAUGACCAAUCCUUUUACUCUUUUAAAUACAAACACUAAGUAGUACAAAGAUUACUUCUGAAUCCUGUUCUUCCACUGGAGCUGCUCAUGUAAUUUGCCUCCUACAACUCAGUCAGAUGUCUGCUCCUAAUCCUCAGAACACAUCCUUCCAAAGGGCCUGCUUGUUUCUUCUCAAAAGUAAUAGCACAGGAUGGAUUCACCUGCAUAGUAAUAAAUCCCAAGACCAAAUCCCCUGACUGAUGCUGCUCGCUGAACAGAGCUCAUUUCCUGAAAGUGCACCUAAAGAGUUUUGUGUGGUCUAACCCCUUCUCCUGUGACCUGUUAGUAGCUCCUUUGACUGGGUUCCAGAAUUCUGAAUUGGUUCAGUGGCAGAUUCAAAAAGCUUUCUUUUCAUCUUGACUGCUGUUCUCAGAGCUGUCUCUCUCCCACAGAGGGUUCUUUUUAAAACUAUCCUUUCUAAGGAAUUUUACUGUAACCCCAUAUUCAAGUUUCAUCUUCCUUUUGUUCCUUUUCAACAUCAAUUAGUUGUUGAGGCAAACUAGAAAAGUUACAUCUAUAGUUUUGAACUAGAAAUAUAAUUCAAAGCUAGCACUAGCUUAUCAACCUGAAAUUUCUCUAUCCUUUCCCCUUUAAUACUUGAUGACUAAAUACAAAUGUGCCACAAAUGAUUGUGAAAUGAAAUUCAGUUUUUGCUAAGAUGUUUAGAAAUUGGAAAAAUGGCAAAACUAAAAAACAAACCCCUCUACUCUCCCCCUACCACCAAAAAGACAAAAAUCAACUCUUACACUUAAAGGGACACAUCUGUUUUCAUUUCAUCACAACUUUUAAUUGCUCCUACCCUUAAUAAACUGAUUUCGAAGGAGAGAAAAUUAUCCCUUAAGUCAAGUUAAGGAACACCUUUUAAGUUGUGUGUGUUUAACUGAAUCACAAAAAUCUUUAUGUUCAUCUGUGAGGCUCGUAGGAGACUGACAAAUUCCAAAAGAAAUGAAGGCAGUAAGUCCCUGAAAUAUUCUGCUGAGGUCUUCCCAGGAGUGUGGGAUUAAAUUAUCAUUUACAAAUGAAUAAAAAGAGGGUGCUACAAACAGAAGAUAUUUUCUCCCUUCACAAGCUAUGAAACUCCCUUGAGGAAACAGCUUCCAUAAAGCUGGUGCUGUGACAACAGCAAUUACGUAGACAAACAUGUAGGUUGUUAAUCAUUUUGAUGGCACUGUUUUCUUAUAAUUUCUGGACUUUUGGGGGGAGGUCAUUGGCUACAACAGGCAAAACUAAUCACAUGGCACUAACAUCAGCUUGGGCUUUACUGGUUUGGCGUACCAGCCUGGACAGGGUGGCCAGAGUGGCAUGUAUUUCCAUGGCCUUCAAAAUGAGCAAGUUGAUUGGCGAUGUGGAGAUGGCCAGUGGGGGGUGGGGGCAGAGGAGAAGAAUUCCCAGAGACCGGCUUCUUCUUUGAUUAAGCUGUUUUUAGUUAGUAAAAACACUUUCCACAAGGAAACACCCUCUAAAUCUAUAUAACUUAAAAAAUUGCAAAACUAAAAAAUCACUUUGCUUUCUUUGUGACUUUAAAUUAUUGUUUGUGUCUUUUGUUCAAUGGUUUGUUUUGUUUUGUUUCCCCUGCCGUGCACUAUUACCCCCAAAUUUCAUGGUUGUUUACCACCACUUACGUUUCUCAUAUAGAAAUAAGUUUUUCUUUUAUUAUUUUCUUCUCUCUCUCUUUUUAACAUAAAUAAAUCAAACAUUCUAAAGCCAUCAUUUAAACAUGGGUGCUUAUGCUCCUGGAAGACAAAUAAUUCUGGGCUAGGUCUGAACAAGUUAGUUUCUUUCUAAAAUAUAACAGAGGACUUCCCUGGUGGCCUAGGAGUUAAGGAUCUGGCGUGGAUUUGAUCCCUGGCUUGGGAACUUCUUCAUGCCAUGGGUGCAGCCAAAUAAAUAAAUAAAUAAAUAAAUAAAUAAAUAAAUAAAUAAAACACAAAUUCUCAGGUUUAGUUUAAUUUUCAAAAAUUUUAACUACACCCAUUUUUUCCAAAAAUGUUUCUUUUAGGCACUUUACUCAUGUUCAAAUGAUGGAAAGGUGGAAAUUUUAUUUCCAAAGUAUACAAUGAUGAGAUGAUGAGUCAAUUUUGCAAACUAUUUCAAAGUAGAGGAGAAACUGAUUUGGGAAAUGAUGAGUUGCCUUUAGUGGAUCAUCUAUCCAAGUACUGAGGACAUUGCAUCUCCAAUACAGGAACUAUUACAACUAUGGUGCAUUCAUUUCAAAAGAGAAAAAACAACUGAUACAUUUGGAUUAUUGCAAGUGAAAUGCUUUAGUGGUAUUCACUCAUAAAUGCAAAAGGUUGUAAUGUAGAGAACCCUGAACGUGGAGGUAUUUCCUUAAACAAAUACUGUUAAUAACUCCUUUUUUUUUUUUAAACCAGCUAAUUUUAUUGUCUUCUUUUUUUUUUUAUUAAAGCAUGGUUGAUUUACAAUGUUUCUUCAAUUUCUGUUGUACACAGCAAAGUGACCCAAUCAUAGGAGUUCCUUGUGCUGUAGAGUAGGAGCACAUUGUCCAUCUAUUCUACAUGUUACAGUUUGUAUCCACCAACCCCCAACUCCCUGUCCAUCCUACUCCCUCCCCGCUGCCACCCUGGUCUAGCUAAUUUUAAGAUAAUGCUUAAGUAGUGCUAGGAAUUUUCCCAAUUGUCAAGUGAAUAACAGCUUUGAAAUGCCUUUCCCAAGUUACAAAAUAUUGAAUGCAAUUCAUGUUUAGUUAUUUAUAUUAUAAAGAUAUGCUAUCUGUAACAUUCAUGGUAUUAAGUUUCACUGCUACAGCAAUAUGCCAUCCAAUUUAUAUGCUUGCUAUAUUCUUCCUUGCUGGUUCAGGGCCUUUUUCUAAGUCAUGUUUCAUGAAAUAACUCAUAAAUUAAAGAAACUUUUAAAAACUAGAAAGAAGCAAGAUUUCCUUUUGGUAAUGGUUCAUGCACCAGGCUAGAAAAGUUUUCUCAAAAUAUUUAAAUAUUCCUUAAAUCAGUAGUUUAACAUUUGGGAAAGAAACAACAUAUAGGAGGUCAAACAUUCAAUACUCACUGUAGAGAAUAGUUCCAUUCAAACUGUUUGUUUUUAUAGUCAAGUAGAUGGUAACAAUUCUGUUAUGUUCCUUCUCCAGGACAAAUUUCAACUCCUCCUGGGUUGUAAAAAAAGGCAGUUCUAAAUAGGAGUUCCCGCUGAAAGAUGGAACAAAUAAACCUGCAUCUAAAAAAAAAAAAAAAAAAAAACAAAAAAUCAACGUCAUAUUAAUAUAUUCUGAUAGCAUUGUAUUACUAAUCAAGUAGAUAAGAAGUUAUCAUUCAUCUAAAACAAUAACACUGAUAUUUAUAAAGAUUUGGUCCAACUUCAAGAAAUUUAGAUACAUAAGUAUGGUCAACUUGAAAAGUCAUUGUCUCAGAAUUCCCAUUGUGGCUCAGUGGUAACGAACCUGACUAAUAUCCACGAGGACUGGGGUUUGAUCUAUGGCCUUGCUCAGCAGGUUAAGGAUCCAGCGUUGCCAAGAGCUGAGGUGCAGGUUGCAGAUGAGGCUCAGAUCUGGCAUUGCUGUGCCUGUAGCGUAGGCUAGCAGUUGUAGCUCCAAUUAGACCCCUAGCCUGGGAAACUCUAUAUGCCA